This 558-nucleotide long non-coding RNA is filed under the name Olea europaea (common olive). RNAcentral's name for it is "long non-coding RNA (OEUR_LNC009645)". The record is from RNAcentral. Lineage: Eukaryota; Viridiplantae; Streptophyta; Magnoliopsida; Lamiales; Oleaceae.
UCUACACAAUAGGGGUUACUUUGACAACAUGUUGCUUUAAUCAAUUAAAUUGAAUAUACUAGACAUCCAAAGGGAACAAUCAAAACCAAAGUUUUGAAUUUAUUUUAAAACUUAAAAUUGGAAAAACUGAAUUCUCAAAGGCACAUGUUUUUUUUAUUUUAAACCAAAAGGCACAUGUCUUGGACCCAUUAUGAAACAAAAGUCAACAAUUGCAACUGAAUCAUAUAAUGCAAUUGAAAUUGAUCCAUUGUGAAAGGUUACGUGUAUUACCAAUCUAUACUAAAUAUGCCAAAUAGUAUUCUGUCAUACACCAUUCUAUAUUGACUCCAUUAUGAGACAUAAAACAAGGGUCAAAAAAUGCGGCUAAUCCAUGCAGUUGAAAUUCUGAUUUCUGGAUCCAUAAUGAAGGUCACAGAUUUUGACAGUGAUCUACAUGCUAUCAAAAGUGAUAUAUCCAUUAUAAACAGUCCAAAAUUGCUGACUUGCUCUUGAUGCAAUUGAAAUUCAUUAUAAAAUGAUCCGAAACUGCAGAUGUCUAAAAGGCAGAUGAAAUUCAGA